RNAcentral lists this long non-coding RNA (663 nucleotides) under Homo sapiens (human). Lineage: Eukaryota; Metazoa; Chordata; Mammalia; Primates; Hominidae. The record is from RNAcentral.
AGGUUAUAUUCCCAGAGGAUGUCAGUCCCAAGGACCAGUAGCUGCCAUCAGUUUGGAUUCUGAAAACUAACUGGCAUCAACACUGGGUGUAGAAACAUGCUUGCCUUAUGUAUCAGAGGACAUGCUCAGCAGAUCCAAGAGAUAUAUUUGGCAACUUUUUCUAGAAAAGGCACAUUGGGUAUCAUUCAUUACAUUCUUGAGUUUUUUUGGGUUUUUUUUUUUUUUUUUGAGACAGUCUUGCUGUAUUGCCCAGGCUGGAGUGUGGUGGCACAAUCACAGCUCAUUGCAUCCUCAAUCACCCAGGCCUAAGCAAUCCUCCCACCUUGUAGCUGGGACUACAGCUCACAGCACACCUGGCUAAAAUUUUUUUUUUGUUGAGACGGAUUCUCUAUGUUGCCCAGGCUGGUCUCAGGCUCCUGGGCUCAGAUGGUCCUCCUGCCUCAGCUUCCAAAGGCACAGGCCAAGUUGUAGCUUUGUCCCUUGCCAUCAUGCCCAACAAGAGGUUCUAUACCUUUUAAUGAAUUGACUUUCAUAAAUUGGUUAUGUUGGUGGGCAAAGUUCUUUAAGCUGGAAAUUGUAAAUUCCUCCUGAAAUGUUUUUUCAUGCAGUUACCAUGAACUAAUACUACAAUAAAGGAUGGUCUUGGGUGUCAAUUCUUGAAAA